CCCCCGAAAGUCUGAGUUCGGUCGCCGAACGUUGAAUGGUUUUGCAUGCGAUUCGGCUGCCGAAGCUGAGGCGGUUGGUCAUCUAUAAAGGGCACCGAGUCCAGAAAAAAGGAGGAGGAUUCUUCUCUCUUUCUGGCCUAGGUGAGUUCUUGAUCUCCUUGGAUUGUUUUCAUGGUUUUUCAUCAAUCUUUCAAAGUUAAACAAGUUUUAAGUAAGGUUUAUGUGUUUUU
RNAcentral lists this long non-coding RNA (230 nucleotides) under Manihot esculenta (cassava). RNAcentral's name for it is "long non-coding RNA (MESC_LNC007312)". Lineage: Eukaryota; Viridiplantae; Streptophyta; Magnoliopsida; Malpighiales; Euphorbiaceae. The record is from RNAcentral.